CCUACGGGAGGCAGCAGUGGGGAAUAUUGGGCAAUGGGCGCAAGCCUGACCCAGCAACGCCGCGUGAAGGAAGAAGGCCUUCGGGUUGUAAACUUCUUUUCUUAGGGACGAAGAAAAUGACGGUACCCGAGGAAUAAGCCCCGGCUAACUACGUGUCAGCAGCCGCGGUAAUACGUAGGGGGCAAGCGUUAUUCGGAAUGACUGGGGGUAAAGGGGGUGUAGGCGGUGAAGCAAGUUAGAAGGGAAAAACUAAGGGCUUAACCCAGGUCCUGCUUCUAAAACUGCUAUUCUUGAGUGCGGGAGAGGCAAGCGGAAUUCCGGGUGUAGCGGUGAAAUGCGUAGAUAUAAGGAGGAACACCAGUGGCGAAGGCGGAUUGCUGGACAGUAACUGACGCUGAGGCACGAAAGCGUGGGGAGCAAACAGGAUUAGAUACCCGAGUAGUC
This 444-nucleotide ribosomal RNA is filed under the name uncultured bacterium. RNAcentral describes it as "partial 16S ribosomal RNA". It matches the Rfam family "Bacterial small subunit ribosomal RNA", at positions 338 to 795 of the family's 1533-position model. The record is from RNAcentral.